Molecule: ribosomal RNA, 446 nt
Filed under: uncultured bacterium
Lineage: Bacteria
Description: partial 16S ribosomal RNA
Rfam family: Bacterial small subunit ribosomal RNA
Source: RNAcentral
CCUACGGGGGGCAGCAGUCGAGAAUCAUUCACAAUGGGGGAAACCCUGAUGGUGCGACGCCGCGUGGGGGAAUGAAGGUCUUCGGAUUGUAAACCCCUGUCAUGUGGGAGCAAAUUAAAAAGAUAGUACCACAAGAGGAAGAGACGGCUAACUCUGUGCCAGCAGCCGCGGUAAUACAGAGGUCUCAAGCGUUGUUCGGAAUCACUGGGCGUAAAGCGUGCGUAGGCUGUUUCGUGAGUCGUGGGUGAAAGGCGCGGGCUCAACCCGCGGACGGCAGAUGAUACUGCGAGACUAGAGUAAGGGAGGGGGAACCGGAAGUCUCGGUGUAGCAGUGAAAUGCGUAGAUAUCGGGAGGAACACUCGUGGCGAAGGCAGGUUCCUGGACAUUAACUGACGCUGAGGCACGAAGGCCAGGGGAGCGAAAGGGAUUAGAUACCCGAGUAGUC